RNAcentral lists this long non-coding RNA (686 nucleotides) under Nicotiana benthamiana. RNAcentral describes it as "long non-coding RNA (NBEN_LNC032284)". Lineage: Eukaryota; Viridiplantae; Streptophyta; Magnoliopsida; Solanales; Solanaceae. The record is from RNAcentral.
AUCGACUUACAACGGGAACUAAAGCGAAGAAAAGAAAUGAACUUGGAAUCAAGUGACUGAAGUAACACCACACUAAAAUUGAUCAAAGAAAAGCAAACAGCAACAGAACACUAGCUUUCGAACAACAGCAGCCUCUAAUAUUUCUCAAAUGACUUCCAUCUUAAAACCAAAAUCCAGAAUUGUAAUGAAGAGAUGAACUCUAGAGGUUUUACAAAAAACUCUAAACAGUUAUCGACAAGAAAAUGAAAGAACAACACCCUCAGUGAUUUUUGUGUUGUUCCAGUAUCAGAAAUAAUAGAACAAAUAAAAUUGAAAACAAUCUCUCAAGUUCCUUUCUGAAAAAAUCUCUCAGACUCUAAAAAUUUUUCUCUGAAAAAUAUCUUCCAAAAAAAAAUCUCUAAAUAUCCGUCCAGAGCACCCCUUUUAUGCCUAAACCUAGAAGCUUCCUCAAAAAUUUGAAAAUAUUCCCCUCUAGAAUGAAUUCGGACAGAUGGAGAGAGGGGAUCGAUCCAAAUCAAUCCAUGGUCCCCAUUUUUCGGAAUUCAUUCUCAAAAAGCACAUGGGAGAUGAAAAUCUGACAGAGGAGCAAGGGGGAACGCGUGAGUGAUUUUGAGCUCACUCGCUGGGGAUUUGAGCUCUUGAGAGUGAAUUUGGGUGAGGAAGUAGUAAACAACAGUGUCUUUAAU